GUCAGUCGACAUGUCGGCCGACACUACCUAUAGUAAAAUUGAUCCAAAAUGCGUCCUGGAGUGAGGAACAGGAAGUUCUAAAGAUGAGGAUUGAUAUCACUCAAAAUGAGCGUAAUUAUCAGUUCUCAAGACAAGGAAUAUGCACUGACAGUGAGUGACAAAUACUGCCUAAAACUGAUAGCAGAGUCCUUACUUUAAGAUUUGCCUGUGCCUAAAUGUUCGUCAUAGAGGCUUUACACCUAGGACAUGUUCUUCAAGAAAUUGAUACAGCAACUUUUCUUUUGAAUCAUAUUGAAGAUUAAAGCAAUAAUAAGUUGACAAUGACAACAACAAGCCCUUUAAUAGGAUGAAUAUCCUUGCUGGUGUAGGACUAUAAUUCUGUCAACUAGUGGUUUAUAUUUAAAUUGAGAUUCUUUACUCUGGUUCAGUAAUUUUUUGUAUAAUAAUCACAUGAUUGUAAGUAAAAAUUACAAAUGGUA
Stylophora pistillata is the source of this 479-nucleotide long non-coding RNA. RefSeq lists it as uncharacterized. The record is from RefSeq and is a predicted model, not a curated record. NCBI's taxonomy places the organism in Eukaryota, Metazoa, Cnidaria, Anthozoa, Scleractinia, Pocilloporidae.